Vicia faba (fava bean) is the source of this 237-nucleotide non-coding RNA. NCBI's taxonomy places the organism in Eukaryota, Viridiplantae, Streptophyta, Magnoliopsida, Fabales, Fabaceae. The record is from the annotation of a GenBank genome assembly.
AUGAAAACUCACCAAAACUCACCAAGAAAAUCCCUCAAGAAGUUCUCUCUAAAAUCACUGCUUCAAGCAUCGUCAACCUUCAUCUUCUUGGAACCCAACCUUCAAUUCUUUGGAACCCAACCUUCAAUUCUUUGCAAUCUUCAUCUCAAUCAUCAUCAGAAUUGCAACCGGCAUCAAUCACUGAAACAAAAACAAAUUUGCAUCACAAUUCUUGAGAGGAUCAUUAUCUUCGCAUAA